Molecule: ribosomal RNA, 950 nt
Filed under: Vibrio vulnificus
Lineage: Bacteria; Pseudomonadati; Pseudomonadota; Gammaproteobacteria; Vibrionales; Vibrionaceae
Description: partial 23S ribosomal RNA
Rfam family: Bacterial large subunit ribosomal RNA
Source: RNAcentral
ACUGAAACAUCUAAGUACCCCGAGGAAAAGAAAUCAACCGAGAUUCCGAAAGUAGCGGCGAGCGAAAUUGGAUUAGCCCUUAAGCUUUACAUGUGUUAGACGAACGGUCUGGAAAGUCCGACGAUACAGGGUGAUAGUCCCGUAGUUGACGAUGCAUGUUCAGUGAAAUCGAGUAGGGCGGGACACGUGUUAUCCUGUCUGAAUAUGGGGGGACCAUCCUCCAAGGCUAAAUACUCCUGACUGACCGAUAGUGAACCAGUACCGUGAGGGAAAGGCGAAAAGAACCCCUGUGAGGGGAGUGAAAUAGAACCUGAAACCGUGUACGUACAAGCAGUAGGAGCACCUUCGUGGUGUGACUGCGUACCUUUUGUAUAAUGGGUCAGCGACUUAUAUUCAGUGGCAAGGUUAACCAUCUAGGGGAGCCGUAGGGAAACCGAGUCUUAACUGGGCGCCAUAGUCUCUGGAUAUAGACCCGAAACCGAGUGAUCUAGCCAUGGGCAGGUUGAAGGUUGAGUAACAUCAACUGGAGGACCGAACCGACUAAUGUUGAAAAAUUAGCGGAUGACUUGUGGCUAGGGGUGAAAGGCCAAUCAAACUCGGAGAUAGCUGGUUCUCCCCGAAAGCUAUUUAGGUAGCGCCUCGGACGAAUACUACUGGGGGUAGAGCACUGUUAAGGCUAGGGGGUCAUCCCGACUUACCAACCCUUUGCAAACUCCGAAUACCAGUAAGUACUAUCCGGGAGACACACGGCGGGUGCUAACGUCCGUCGUGGAGAGGGAAACAACCCAGACCGCCAGCUAAGGUCCCAAAUUACAGCUAAGUGGGAAACGAUGUGGGAAGGCUUAGACAGCUAGGAUGUUGGCUUAGAAGCAGCCAUCAUUUAAAGAAAGCGUAAUAGCUCACUAGUCGAGUCGGCCUGCGCGGAAGAUGUAACGGGGCUAAGUUGUAAA